CUACGGGGGGCUGCAGUGAGGAAUAUUGCACAAUGGGGGGAACCCUGAUGCAGCAACGCCGCGUGGAGGAUGACGCAUUUCGGUGUGUAACCUCCUUUUAUAUGUCAAGAAAAUGACGGUAGCAUAUGAAUAAGCACCGGCUAACUCCGUGCCAGCAGCCGCGGUAAUACGGAGGGUGCAAGCGUUACUCGGAAUCACUGGGCGUAAAGGACGCGUAGGCGGGUUGGAAAGUCAGGUGUGAAAUCCUACAGCUUAACUGUAGAACUGCACUUGAAACUUCUAAUCUAGAGUAUGGGAGGGGGAGAUGGAAUUAGUGGUGUAGGGGUAAAAUCCGUAGAUAUCACUAGGAAUACCUAAAGCGAAGGCGAUCUGCUGGAACAUUACUGACGCUAAGGCGUGAAAGCGUGGGGAGCAAACAGGAUUAGAUACCCGGGUAGUC
RNAcentral lists this ribosomal RNA (439 nucleotides) under uncultured bacterium. Its description in RNAcentral is "partial 16S ribosomal RNA". It matches the Rfam family "Bacterial small subunit ribosomal RNA", at positions 339 to 795 of the family's 1533-position model. The record is from RNAcentral.